Molecule: unclassified non-coding RNA, 277 nt
Filed under: Hevea brasiliensis (rubber tree)
Lineage: Eukaryota; Viridiplantae; Streptophyta; Magnoliopsida; Malpighiales; Euphorbiaceae
Source: RNAcentral
GAUCGUCCUAUGUUCCGGUUUCUAAAUUAUUGAUGAUCGAUCGUUGUUAUGUUUUGUAAAUUAUUUUGUGUUGCGUUUGCAUAUCAAUGCUUUUCUGCAUCUGUGACAGAUCCGAGGAUAUCAGCGUUCUUCUCUCAAAAUUGGGAUGAAUUUGUAUUUCCGUGAGAGGAUCGGACAAUAUUUUUGCGAUUAGACGAGAUUUGUGUUUAUUCUCACAAGAUUUGAUUUGCUUAGGUAGGACUUAAUUGAUGUUCUAAUCCCAAUAUCUUUGAGAUGC